UACGAAGGGUGCAAGCGUUAGUCGGAAUUACUGGGCGUAAAGCGUGCGUAGGCGGUCUCUUAAGUCCGUUGUGAAAGCCCUGGGCUCAACCUGGGAACUGCAGUGGAUACUGAGAAGCUAGAGUGUGUCAGAGGAUGGUGGAAUUCCCGGUGUAGCGGUGAAAUGCGUAGAUAUCGGAAGGAACGCCGGUGGCGAAAGCGAACGUGCUGGACCUCUUCUGACGCUGGAGGCGCGAAAGCUAGGGGAGCAAACGGG
This 255-nucleotide ribosomal RNA is filed under the name uncultured bacterium. RNAcentral describes it as "partial 16S ribosomal RNA". It matches the Rfam family "Bacterial small subunit ribosomal RNA", at positions 524 to 776 of the family's 1533-position model. The record is from RNAcentral.